AUUGAACGCUGGCGGCAGGCCUAACACAUGCAAGUCGAACGGUAACACGAAACGAGUUUGUGUUUCGCGGUCGCGUGGGGGGGGGGGGUGAAGUGUCUAUGGAACUCCCUUAUUUCGGGGGGGAUCAAGUGGAGACGGUUACGAUAACCGCACAUCGGCCCAACGGGAGAGAGCAGGAGAUCUUGGCCCCUUGCGAGAUGGUAUGCGCCGAUGUCGGAUUAGCUAGUUGGGGGGGUAAACGCCCACCAAGGCGACGAUCCGUAGCUGGUCUGAGAGGAUGAUCAGCCACACUGGAACUGAGACACGGUCCAGACUCCUACGGGAGGCAGCAGUGGGGAAUAUUGGACAAUGGGCGCAAGCCUGAUCCAGCCAUACCGCGUGUGUGAAGAAGGCCUUCGGGUUGUAAAGCACUUUUAUUGGGGAAGAAGAGCAGCAAGUUAAUACCUCGCCGUAUUGACGUUACCCAAAGAAGAAGCACCGGCUAACUCCGUG
Molecule: ribosomal RNA, 492 nt
Filed under: uncultured bacterium
Lineage: Bacteria
Description: partial 16S ribosomal RNA
Rfam family: Bacterial small subunit ribosomal RNA
Source: RNAcentral